RNAcentral lists this ribosomal RNA (253 nucleotides) under uncultured bacterium. Its description in RNAcentral is "partial 16S ribosomal RNA". It matches the Rfam family "Bacterial small subunit ribosomal RNA", at positions 524 to 776 of the family's 1533-position model. The record is from RNAcentral.
UACGAAGGGGGCUAGCGUUGUUCGGAAUUACUGGGCGUAAAGCGUGCGCAGGUGGCUUCUCAAGUCAGGGGUGAAAGCCCAGAGCUCAACUCUGGAAUUGCCUUUGAGACUGAGUGGCUUGAGUACGGGAGAGGUGAGUGGAAUUCCCAGUGUAGAGGUGAAAUUCGUAGAUAUUGGGAAGAACACCGGUGGCGAAGGCGGCUCACUGGCCCGUAACUGACGCUCAUGCACGACAGCGUGGGGAUCAAACAGG